Molecule: RNA transcript, 4509 nt
Organism: Zalophus californianus (California sea lion)
Lineage: Eukaryota; Metazoa; Chordata; Mammalia; Carnivora; Otariidae
Gene: ILRUN
Gene name: inflammation and lipid regulator with UBA-like and NBR1-like domains
Exons: 6
Source: RefSeq, a predicted model, not a curated record
GCGCUGGGGGGGGUGGGAGGGGGGGGAGCGAGCGAGUGAGUGAGUGGCUGAGUGAGUUUAUCCCUAUGAGGCGGUGAGAGGCCCGGGGCCUACCUCAAAGGAGCGGGGUCGCGGCGCCAGCUAGCAGCGGGCCCCCUCCCGGUCCCCGGGCCCGGCGGCGCGGCGGCGGCGGCUCGGUUUUGAGGAGGCGGGGAAGCGGGCGUCCGGCCCCAGCCAUGGAGGGCAUGGACGUGGACCUGGACCCCGAGCUGAUGCAGAAGUUCAGCUGCUUGGGCACCACCGACAAGGACGUGCUCAUCUCCGAGUUCCAGCGGCUGCUCGGCUUCCAGCUCAACCCGGCCGGCUGCGCCUUCUUCCUGGACAUGACCAACUGGAACCUACAAGCAGCAAUUGGCGCCUAUUACGACUUUGAGAGCCCAAACAUCAGUGUGCCCUCUAUGUCGUUUGUUGAAGAUGUCACCAUAGGAGAAGGGGAGUCGAUACCUCCUGAUACUCAGUUUAUAAAGACAUGGCGGAUCCAGAAUUCUGGGGCAGAGGCCUGGCCUCCAGGGGUUUGUCUUAAAUAUGUCGGGGGAGACCAAUUUGGACAUGUGAACAUGGUGAUGGUGAGAUCGCUAGAGCCCCAAGAGAUUGCAGAUGUCAGCGUCCAGAUGUGCAGCCCCAGCAGAGCAGGAAUGUAUCAGGGACAGUGGCGGAUGUGCACUGCUACAGGACUCUACUAUGGAGAUGUCAUCUGGGUGAUUCUCAGUGUGGAGGUGGGUGGACUUUUAGGAGUAACGCAGCAGCUGUCAUCUUUUGAAACGGAGUUCAACACACAGCCACAUCGCAAGGUAGAAGGAAACUUCAACCCGUUUGCCUCUCCCCAAAAGAACCGACAAUCAGAUGAAAACAACUUAAAAGACCCUGGGGGUUCCGGGUUCGACUCGAUCAGCAAAAACACAUGGGCUCCUGCUCCUGACCAAACCGAGCAAGAUGAGAAUAGACUCUCACAGAACUCUGUAAAUCUGUCCCCCAGCAGUCACGCAAACAACUUAUCAGUAGUGACUUACAGUAAGUGAACUUAGUGCUGCGAAAGGAGCACUAGACAGACGCAGCGCUGACCAGGACUGGCCCAGGAAGUGAGGAGGAGGAGGGCCCGGCGGUGUUACCUGAUGCUGCCAUCAGUGUGCACCUGGAGAGCCCUGCCACGCACGCUCCUUUGUGUUAACGUGUGUGAACCUUUUUAUUUAUUUAAAUCACAAAUAAAAGCAAAAUAAAGACAGGGGCUCCACGGGCCUUACCCCUUCGGCCAGUCUUAAACGGGCAUCGGCAAGAAGAAAAAUUAACAAAAGACAGAAGGCCUGACUUUGGGGUGGGGGGGAGGGCAGGGGGUUCCUCUGGAUUGCAGACCACACCGCAUGGACCCCUGGCUCUGACCCCCCCUCCCCCAUCCUGGAAGAAGAGGAAGAAGCAGAACUAGUUUUGAGUAAACUCAGUAUGCAUGUGUGAAUGCUGAAUCGCGGAAUGGUGUUGAGGCUACUAAGAAGAAACCCAUGCAGCCGCCUUGGGUUUUGUUUAUUAGGCGUCAGUCUAACAAGUCAUUAGGUCACUCGGGAAGGAAAAAAAAGUUUCAAAUGGGGGAAAAAAAGCCAUCUUUUUAAACAAAAAUUAUUUUGCCUACAGACAGGUUGUAGUUUUGAGCACAUGUUAAUUUUUUCCCCCUUUCCUCACUUUUUUUUUUCUUUAGGUAAGGGAUAACGUACCCUUUCUAGAAUAGCUGCUUGCUCUGGAAGCGAUUCAGGUUACAAGCUGGAGUGGCAUGUUUGGGGACUCUGCGGGUCCGUGCCACAGGAGGACAUCUCCUGCGCCACCCGACUCCAGCAGUCUCUGACCCCGUUUGUUUUUAAUGGCAUCGGCCAAUGAGUUAUCAUUCUUUUCCUCUUCUUUUCUCUUUAAUCUUCUGUUGACUUACACCUUUGACAUUUGUAUCCGUCAACCCCUGUGGCUUGUUACCAUCAGAACCUCUCUGAAGACCAAACUUCCCUGUGUGGCCAGCAGAGGAAGCCUUGAAGACAGAUCUCGGGCAACAUGGGAGUUUCUAAGGCCGAGAGGUGUCCUUCUGCACACACUUAUAACAACUCAAAUUGCUUUUCUUCCAUGUUUCUCUUGGCAGAGAGAGAUGCCAUCACGCUUACUACUCUUUUGGAUUCUUCAUACACAGCGGCUCCCCAUUCACUCUGGGAACAGUGCCUCUGUGCUGCGUACAUGUGUGUGCCACGUGCACACACACACGGGUGUUGAUGCAGCUCACCAGCAAAGUGUGCAGCAGGCAGGUGGAAAGGUGUCCAGGCUUCUCUGUUGUGACACAACUCCCUUCCUUGUGUUUCCCUCCCAUUGUCCUUUGUGGUAUUUUCACAGCCUGUUAGUGGAGGCUGAGCUGUUAAGAUAUGGAAAUAUAGCCCCAAGCAGGGAGUUGGCCAUGGGGAGGGGCCACAGUUACUGACUGUGAUUUUGGAGACCACAGUUCGAUGAAACGAGAGCACCCCCACCCUGAGCAGGAUGCUUGGCUAGUGGGAGGUGGUGGGCGAGGGGCAGCCCAGCCAGAGCAGAGGCUACUUGGCUGGCUGCCCACUUGGGCAGGUGGCCCCACUGGAAUCCUAUGGAUUCCAAGCAGGUUGAGCUGUGGACCUCUCCAUGGGAAGCUUGAACCAGGCUAGAACAGCUGUCUGCCAAAGAUACAAGAAUAUGCAAAGUCCCUCUUCUCUUUCCUUCUCACCUCCCCCUCCUUCCCUUGAGUCUUGGCUGGUUUGAUAGCCGCGGAUGUGGAUCUAGGGUGCGGUUGCAGGGUUACCUGCCUAUUAACCGCAUCCCCACCCACCUCGGGGGUGUGAGAUAAGCUGGGAGACCAGGUGAUGAGCGGCUGCAGGGGGUCAUAGAGCCUGGGUGUGGGUGAGGGUCUGCCUGCCCGUCUGUCUCUUUCUGGGUGUCCAAGCUCCAGAAAUGUGUGCUCUUUGUUCCUCCUUGUCCUCUUUUGAGACUAUUGUUUUCUAAAGCUUGAUUGUGGGAGAAAAGCUUGUAUGAAAUUCCUCCUUCACCUCCCCACCUCCCCAAAAAUAAAAGGCAGGAAACCCUUUGGUCUACUGGAGAAGCUCUGGGGGAGGAUGGAGCCAACCUGCUGAGAAGGUCUGGCAGCUGGGUCUGGGGCUAGCCUAAGGCUCACACAGGAGCGGCCGUUUGCAGUGCUUUCAAGUGCCCCAGUCCUGAGCAGAGCAGAGGGGCGUCCCUGGUGGGUGCCCAGGCCGUCACUGGCCCAAGCCAGGGGCUCACCAUGACUUUUUGUCUGAGGGCCCUGUUGGGCCCAGCUUGCCACUACUGUUGGUGCCAACCUCCUGGGACCCUGCCACCCUGGAGCCCACACACGCCCAGCCCUCCAAAUAGCACAUCUCCAGCUGCCGCUGGCAGGAUCGUGGGAGGCUUUACAUGGCCUGGUUUCCUGGCCCCCUCAUCUGCCGCACACCUGGUGUCCCUUCCCCAUUUCCCAGGAGGGGGUGCUUUCAUAGGUCACCGUUAGUGGGUCUGGUCCUGCCAGAGGCAUCCUGCUCUUCCCCUCGGCUUGUAGGCAAGGUGACUGUCCCAAGCACAUUGACUCACCUCCCAAGAGCAAACCAUUUCUGUGUGCAUCACUGGAGAGGCAAGCUCCUUGCAGAGAGCCAGAGCAAGCACAAGCCGCGCGGUAGGAGUUGGGAUUCCACGGCUCCCCCAGGACCAGGGGGGCACCAGUCCCAUUCAUUCUGUCUCCUCUCACUGGUUUGAGUUCUGAGCAGUGCCUAGAGCCCCUCUCCUCCCCUGCCUAGUGUGGUGGUAGAAGUGACCCUUUCAGCCCCAGAAGGCAGGCUGCCUCUAGGCAGGACCACCAGUAUCCAGCACCCAUGAGAGGAGGCAGACGGCACCCUUAGGGGCCUGAGCCCAGCGAGGGAGGCAGAGGGGCUCAGGCCUGGGAAGAACCUAGCGUGUGCAUGGAGUGAGGUGUGUGUGGAUGUGUGUACGCGUGCAUGCCUUUUUUUUUUCCUUUUUGUCAUGGAGGCAGUUGAAUUCGGGGUAUUUUUCUACAAGAAACAGCCUUCUCUCCCCCAGUAAGGAUUGGCUGUAACCUUAAGCUCAUCAUAGAACCUCACCAAGACAGCUCGUGUGGCUUGGGGGUGGCCAAGAUGGGAUCCCCAAAUUCAGUCGGAGCCCCAGCAGGAGAGGAUGGUGGGGUUGCUAGGGCUCAGAAAUGCAAGCUGAUUCCCCCACCCCACCCUGCCUUGCCUUUCCUUCAUUUCCUUGAGUGAAUGCUGGAGCAGCUGUGGCUGCCCCCUCCACCUGGACAGUGGUGUGUAGCGAGCAAGCUGGGUGGGUGUUUGUGGUGGGGCCUCAUGGUGCCUGGGAGGAGAUGAAGAUGGGGAGGUUUUUCCUUACUGUAUAAAUGAAUAUUUGUAUGAUUAAAUUAACACACACACACACACACACACACACCAAAAAAAAAACCUA